This 489-nucleotide long non-coding RNA is filed under the name Actinidia chinensis (golden kiwifruit). Its description in RNAcentral is "long non-coding RNA (ACHI_LNC004579)". The record is from RNAcentral. Lineage: Eukaryota; Viridiplantae; Streptophyta; Magnoliopsida; Ericales; Actinidiaceae.
CAUCCUGAAACCAAUAAUUAAUUGCUAUGCCAUUUCAGCCUCUUUAAGCUUCUCCAACAUUUGAGUUGUGUUUGGAUCAAGAAUUCAGCAAAGAAGAAUAGAAGAAAAAAUUUGGUGCUUAGAUCUAACAGCUCAUUAUUUAAUUUUUUUUCCUCCACGACGGAAAGAAAAAAAAAUUAAAAUUAAGGAGAAAAGUUAAAACAUUCAAUAAUUCCGAUUUAAUCUUUUUUUUUUGUGAUUUUUUUUUCUUCACAAAUUCCUGCUAAAUCAUUGAUCCAAACACAACAAAGAGAAGUGAAUCACUUCUCGCACAUGCACCGUCGUAAAUUCGUCAAGAGAUCGGUGGUUGUCAUAUAAAACUCAUCAUCCAUCUGCAAUAAAGGAUAUAUAUUCAUAUAUCCUUAGGGUUUUAAUCUAAUUCUAGAAAAAAAUAACAAAUAACAAAUAAAAGUAGUAUAUAUAUAUAUAAAAUCACCUGAGCAGAAAUGG